CAGUCGCCGCGGUAAUACGUAGGUGGCAAGCGUUGUUCGGAAUUAUUGGGCGUAAAGGGCUCGCAGGCGGUUUCUUAAGUCUGAUGUGAAAGCCCCCGGCUCAACCGGGGAGGGUCAUUGGAAACUGGGAAACUUGAGUGCAGAAGAGGAGAGUGGAAUUCCACGUGUAGCGGUGAAAUGCGUAGAGAUGUGGAGGAACACCAGUGGCGAAGGCGACUCUCUGGUCUGUAACUGACGCUGAGGAGCGAAAGCGUGGGGAGCGAACAGGAUUAGAUACCCCAGUAGUCCCUGUCUCUUAUAC
RNAcentral lists this ribosomal RNA (301 nucleotides) under uncultured bacterium. RNAcentral describes it as "partial 16S ribosomal RNA". It matches the Rfam family "Bacterial small subunit ribosomal RNA", at positions 509 to 807 of the family's 1533-position model. The record is from RNAcentral.